UACGGAGGGGGCUAGCGUUGUUCGGAAUUACUGGGCGUAAAGCGCGCGUAGGCGGACCUGCAAGUCGGGGGUGAAAGCCCGAGGCUUAACCUCGGAACUGCCUUCGAUACUGCGGGUCUCGAGUCCGGGAGAGGUGAGUGGAAUUCCUAGUGUAGAGGUGAAAUUCGUAGAUAUUAGGAAGAACACCAGUGGCGAAGGCGGCUCACUGGCCCGGUACUGACGCUGAGGCGCGAAAGCCAGGGGAGCAAACGGG
This 253-nucleotide ribosomal RNA is filed under the name uncultured bacterium. RNAcentral's name for it is "partial 16S ribosomal RNA". It matches the Rfam family "Bacterial small subunit ribosomal RNA", at positions 524 to 776 of the family's 1533-position model. The record is from RNAcentral.